ACGGAAGGCAGCAGUGGGGAAUAUUGCACAAUGGGCGAAAGCCUGAUGCAGCGACGCCGCGUGAGUGAAGAAGUAUCUCGGUAUGUAAAGCUCUAUCAGCAGGGAAGAAAAUGACGGUACCUGACUAAGAAGCCCCGGCUAACUACGUGCCAGCAGCCGCGGUAAUACGUAGGGGGCAAGCGUUAUCCAGAUUUACUGGGUGUAAAGGGAGCGUAGACGGUUUGGCAAGUCUGAAGUGAAAUGCGGGGGCUCAACUCCUGAACUGCUUUGGAAACUGUCGAACUAGAGUGCAGGAGAGGUAAGUGGAAUUCCUAGUGUAGCGGUGAAAUGCGUAGAUAUUAGGAGGAACACCAGUGGCGAAGGCGGCUUACUGGACUGUAACUGACGUUGAGGCUCGAAAGCGUGGGGAGCAAACAGGAUUAGAUACCCUGGUA
RNAcentral lists this ribosomal RNA (434 nucleotides) under uncultured Lachnospiraceae bacterium. RNAcentral's name for it is "partial 16S ribosomal RNA". It matches the Rfam family "Bacterial small subunit ribosomal RNA", at positions 341 to 792 of the family's 1533-position model. Lineage: Bacteria; Bacillati; Bacillota; Clostridia; Lachnospirales; Lachnospiraceae. The record is from RNAcentral.